AUUGAACGCUGGCGGCAUGCUUUACACAUGCAAGUCGAACGGCAGCGCGGGCUUCGGCCUGGCGGCGAGUGGCGAACGGGUGAGUAAUGCAUCGGAACUUGCCCAGUAGUGGGGGAUAGCCCGGCGAAAGCCGGAUUAAUACCGCAUACGACCUGAGGGUGAAAGCGGGGGACCGAAAGGCCUCGCGCUAUUGGAGCGGCCGAUGUCGGAUUAGCUAGUUGGUGGGGUAAAGGCUUACCAAGGCGACGAUCCGUAGCUGGUCUGAGAGGACGACCAGCCACACUGGGAUUGAGAGACGGCCCAGACUCCUACGGGAGGCAGCAGUGGGGAAUUUUGGACAAUGGGGGCAACCCGGAUCCAGCCAUGCCGCGUGCGGGAAGAAGGCCUUCGGGUUGUAAACCGCUUUUGUUCGGGAAGAAAUCCUCUGGGCUAAUACCCCGGGGGGAUGACGGUACCGGAAGAAUAAGCACCGGCUAACUACGU
RNAcentral lists this ribosomal RNA (483 nucleotides) under uncultured bacterium. RNAcentral's name for it is "partial 16S ribosomal RNA". It matches the Rfam family "Bacterial small subunit ribosomal RNA", at positions 28 to 506 of the family's 1533-position model. The record is from RNAcentral.